GAUGAAGAACGCAGCGAAGUGCGAUAAGUAAUGUGAAUUGCAGAAUUCCGUGAAUCAUCGAAUCUUUGAACGCAAAUUGCACUCUCUGGUAUUCCGGAGAGUAUGCCUGUUUGAGGGUCAGUCAAAUAAAAAUCGGGUUGUUGCUGCUGCAUUUGGUGGUGACGCUUCGGAACUGGAUCAUCUUUGCCUUUGGUUAAGUGACCUAAAAUUUCGGAUGAUUUUUUGAACGUAUUUAAAUUUUUUAUGUACGUUUGUAUAUCGAAUAUUAGAUGUGAUCAUUUCUAUGAUUCGCGUCUAUAAUUUUUCAUCAAAUGACCUCAAAUCAGGUAAGAGUACCUGCUGAACUUAAGCAUAUCAAUAAGCGGAGGA
RNAcentral lists this unclassified non-coding RNA (369 nucleotides) under soil metagenome. Its description in RNAcentral is "partial contains 5.8S ribosomal RNA, internal transcribed spacer 2, and large subunit ribosomal RNA". The stretch from base 1 to 120 matches the Rfam family "5.8S ribosomal RNA", at positions 35 to 154 of the family's 154-position model. The record is from RNAcentral.